GGGGGCGACCGGUUUCGACUGGAUGGCUACGGUGAUGGUGGCAUGCCCUGGACGCCUACUUGGCCAGGUAAAAUAUGUGGGCAAACAUUAACUGCCAAUAACAAUGGUGCAGUUGCCGGUCGCAUCGGUUUCGGUGCUCCGGCUCUCGUAAUGGCCGUCUAAUUUAGAUGGUCUCGGGAUGACGGCGAUGCUCGCUGAUCGUCACCUGUAAAAAGCGGGCUGGCUCGACAAGUCCGGUCUUACGCGUCGAGUGAGAAACAUUAGGCCUGGAGCCUGGCGAAGGUUGUCAGUGGUCGUCGCCAGAUUCGACAAUAAAGCACCUGACUAUGCAUGUAGAGGCCAUCAUUUGGGCUGUAUCAGGACGAGGGUUCAAUUCCCUCCGCCUCCACUC
This 391-nucleotide transfer-messenger RNA is filed under the name Tepidisphaeraceae. RNAcentral's name for it is "JACMML01 sp014379105 Standard tmRNA". It matches the Rfam family "transfer-messenger RNA". Rfam says of the family: Bacterial tmRNA, also known as 10Sa RNA or SsrA, is named for its dual tRNA and mRNA-like properties. Its role is to liberate the mRNA from a stalled ribosome. Lineage: Bacteria; Pseudomonadati; Planctomycetota; Phycisphaerae; Tepidisphaerales. RNAcentral also lists the same sequence under 2 other names. The record is from RNAcentral.